Molecule: long non-coding RNA, 312 nt
Filed under: Salvia miltiorrhiza (redroot sage)
Lineage: Eukaryota; Viridiplantae; Streptophyta; Magnoliopsida; Lamiales; Lamiaceae
Description: long non-coding RNA (SMIL_LNC014396)
Source: RNAcentral
GAAUCCACCAAUAAUGAAAUACCAGUUGGAGUAAAGAAAACAAAGUCUUCAAUCUUAUUGUUCCCAUUAAUAUGACUCCCAUCUUUCUACCCUUUUUCUGUCGCCAUCUCAACCUACUGUCUGCCUCUUCCCAAUUUUCCACACAACUCUCUCUCUCUCUCUCACACACACACACACACACACACACACACACACAAUUUAUGAAGAAAAUAGAUAUCCCCUAUUAUAUAUAUGGGGAAGCCCAUAAAUAUAUAUCGACAAAACCUACACCAAGCAUUGCAGCCUUCCAAGAAUUCAUUUGCUACACUAUUA